GCUAAGAAAAGGAAGAGAUGAGGUUAGUCAAUGUGGGGCAUUUCAAAAUAUGUUCUUUCCUAAUACAGGACAGGGACUGCUACUGUAUUUCUCCAUUGUAAGAUAGUUUGCAUUUCCUGAGCCUGUCUCUUUGUCUCACCCAGCUACUAACAUUAGAGGACCAGACACUUUUUCCACUGAGUAGGUAUGCUCUAAGACCUACCGUAAAAGAGUUCACAAAUUAACUCCUGCUUGGGUGAGGGAGAAUGGCAGACGGCAAAUAAAUAAAACUAAACUUUGCAGGUGAGUCUGUGUAUGUGGGGGAAUACUGACUGCAUCACAUUACCUACAGACAGGGAUGUUGCUCACUUGCCAAUAGCUGGAAGUUUUAAUUAGCCACACUGAGGGCAGCUCAGUUCCUAACACUUGACCUCUCUGAUCCCUUACAGACAGAAUCCGCCAACCUUCAGAGCAUGGUGCAAGACACUUUGAUCAGGGCUACAGCGUAGACAGGUGGCAGUGCUGUGUGACAAUGACAACAACCAGUUAGACCGAGCCAGCAAGACAUCUUGGAUGGGAACAGUCUCCAUAUUAAAAGUGGCUGCACUUCACUGGUGCCGGCAGCCGCAGGAUCCAAUCCUCCAUUUGGUGAGAUUUGAGUGAGGAAUCUGACCUAUCGUUUGUCAAAGGCUUUGGGAUCCUUUUGGAAUUAAAGGCAUGAUAGAAAGUCUUACCUGAAGAGAACAGGGUGAAGGUACCCAGGACAAGUAAGGUGGCUGUGGCUGCCUUCAUGAUGACGACAAUGCAGCAGUAAUCCCACUAUACCCGAAGCCUCCUCUUGUCUCAUACCAGGGAUUCCAAUGCAAUGACUGGAGCUGCUGACAGAAAACAAGAGGGGUUAGGCAUCAGCACAAGAAACCAAUAGAAACAACAGAGAAGACUGAAAAAUGGAUGGUGUGUCUGAGUAGGCAGGAGGAAUGGCAGCCAGCCAUGAGGUGAGAGGAGGAUUAAGGAGGCGCAAGAGGCCCUAUUCCUAGGCAUCGAUGGAAAGCAUUAGUGUAUGUUAUGCUCUACCAUGCGCAGGCCUCUCUUGGAGGUACAAUCCUGACAACAUUCAGGCAGACACAAUGUGGGAGCAUGCAAUAUCCUGGUGCCUAAUUUUUUGCUGUAGGCUUCCAGCAGUAACUUCAGGCUCACAAACACCACCUGGACCCUGAACAGAACUCAUUAGUUGCCUUGUCUGUGCUUGUGAGUCUGUACCUUAAUGUUCACCCUUUUUACAAACUAGAUUUUGUACAAAGUAUGCCUUGUGCUGUAUCAUUUGAAAACUCAUCUGGUGAACGCUACUGUCCUGGUAAAAUGUGUGUGGCAACGUUGUACGUGAAGUUAUAAAGUUCUAUUGUAUAAGACAUGUUCCAAGUCUGGGGAAACCACUUCAACCGGUUCCCCAGAUACAAAAGGCUAGCCAACACCUAAGCUAGGUGUCAACAUAAUCAAAUGGACUAUCACCUUCGUAAUGGAACAGCUGGAGGUUCCCUUGCAAACAGACUUUCUGUUGCCUGAACCCCAGCUGGAGAUGAGUCUCAAAUACGAGAAUUGCUAUAAGAAAUGGGAGCAAAUUCCCCAGAUUUUCUCUCUGCCCUGAACAUCCACAACGUCUGAAAGACAAGGAAAGGAGCACUGGACUGGGGGAGGAGUUCUGGCUGAAAGGCAUCCGAUAAGACUGCAAAACCAUCUGAUGAGAGAGACAUUUUGCUUUGAAUUCACUUAGCUUGUUAAGUGAGAUAUUAGUUCAUCUUGCCUUUUAUUUUUUUAUAGCCAAAUUCUGACUUUUAUGCCUCAUUACUUGUAAUCACUUAAUCUUUCAGUCAUUAAUAAACUCGUUUUAUUGUUUUAUCUAA
Long non-coding RNA from Trachemys scripta elegans, 1880 nucleotides. RefSeq lists it as uncharacterized. Lineage: Eukaryota; Metazoa; Chordata; Testudines; Emydidae. The transcript has 4 exons. The record is from RefSeq and is a predicted model, not a curated record.